Molecule: ribosomal RNA, 365 nt
Filed under: uncultured Pseudomonas sp.
Lineage: Bacteria; Pseudomonadati; Pseudomonadota; Gammaproteobacteria; Pseudomonadales; Pseudomonadaceae
Description: bacterial SSU rRNA
Rfam family: Bacterial small subunit ribosomal RNA
Source: RNAcentral
CCUUCGGGAACUCUGACACAGGUGCUGCAUGGCUGUCGUCUAGCUCGUGUCGUGAGAUGUUGGGUUAAGUCCGUACGAGCGCAACCCUUGUCCUUAGUUACCAGCACGUUAUGGUGGGCGACUCUAAGGAGACUGCCGGUGACAACCGGAGGAAGGUGGGGAUGACGUCAAGUCAUCAUGGCCCUUACGGCCUGGGCUACACACGUGCUACAAUGGUCGGUACAAAGGGUUGCCAAGCCGCGAGGUGGAGCUAAUCCCAUAAAACCGAUCGUAGUCCGGAUCGCAGUCUGCAACUCGACUGCGUGAAGUCGGAAUCGCUAGUAAUCGUGAAUCAGAAUGUCACGGUGAAUACGUUCCCGGGCCUU